Molecule: long non-coding RNA, 960 nt
Organism: Diabrotica virgifera virgifera (western corn rootworm)
Lineage: Eukaryota; Metazoa; Arthropoda; Insecta; Coleoptera; Chrysomelidae
Exons: 3
Source: RefSeq, a predicted model, not a curated record
AAAAAAGUAUUUAAAUUUUGAAAUAUGUACUGCCAAUCAGCCCUGAAAGUUAAAAUAUGAGGUCCAUUCAACGAACUGUCAAUACUGAUUCAAUCGGGUCCAUUUAUAUAGGCAACUCAAAUUACACGGCCUGUCAAAUUCUCCAGCACCUUGUCUGUCUCUCUCUAGAACCUCUCUCUUGUAUGUUGGUGGCAAUCUCGCUUCACUAUUUGAAUGGGACAGGGCCAUUCCAUCCGUAUUGACAGUUCAUUGGUGUAAAAGAUAAAUCUUAUUCUAUCUGUUCUUAAUGAGUUUUAGAUAAUUUUAGUUGUAUUUCUUUGUAAUUUUGUGUUGUUCAAAGAUUAAUUUAACAUUUUCUCUGGAAAUAUUAAUUUAGAAAGAUAAUAUGCUUCAUUGGUGUUGUGUUUUGAAGUGUGAAAUGCAAAGUAAUUGUGAUAAAGUCAAGAUAAAGUUCACUUUUAAACUGAACUAAAUAAGGUAUCUGAGAGACAACAAUGGUUAAAUGCAAUACAAUGUACAGGUCUUACUAGCGAAAUGAAAAUUUUCCUGUCCUGUCUGCUGUAAUCAUUUUAUAUCUGGAAAACCAGCCGACUUAAUCGAUAAUAACAAUCUCCAGAUUGGGUUCCUUCAAUAAAUAUGGUCUAUAAACACAAUGAAAUAAGUUCCCCAAAAUCUAAAAUGGAGUGGUAUCAAAGGAGAAUUAAAGGGAAAAAUAUUCAUAUUGAAAUUAUUUAUAAGGCACUGGACUGUCUUAAAUUCUACAAUAAUACUAGAAUCAGCUGAGAGAAGUGGUCUACAAAAAACCAGGAAGGAAACGGAAUAUGUGGCUACGAAAGGCAAAAGAAAGGUUUACAAAGCAAAUGUGACACAUUUUUUUGAAAUAUUUAGGAAUAUUAGUAAAUUGCAUUAAAAAAAUGUAUGAAAAGAUUUUGUUCAAUAAAAAUGUUUAUAUUUAUCAAA